Molecule: ribosomal RNA, 246 nt
Filed under: uncultured bacterium
Lineage: Bacteria
Description: partial 16S ribosomal RNA
Rfam family: Bacterial small subunit ribosomal RNA
Source: RNAcentral
AUACGGAGGAUGCGAGCGUUAUCCGGAUUUAUUGGGUUUAAAGGGUGCGUAGGCCGGACAUCAAGUCGGCGGUAAAAUCUAAGGGCUCAACCCUUACGAGCCGUCGAAACUGGUGACCUAGAGUGGGCGAGAAGUAUGCGGAAUGCGAGGUGUAGCGGUGAAAUGCAUAGAUAUCACGCAGAACUCCGAUUGCGGAGGCAGCUUACUAAGCUACAACUGACACUGAAGCACGAAAGCGUGGGGAUC